RNAcentral lists this unclassified non-coding RNA (313 nucleotides) under plant metagenome. Its description in RNAcentral is "partial contains 5.8S ribosomal RNA, internal transcribed spacer 2, and large subunit ribosomal RNA". The stretch from base 1 to 104 matches the Rfam family "5.8S ribosomal RNA", at positions 51 to 154 of the family's 154-position model. The record is from RNAcentral.
AAAUGCGAUAAUUAAUGUGAAUUGCAGAAUUCAGUGAAUCAUCGAGUCUUUGAACGCACAUUGCGCCCCCUGGUAUUCCGGGGGGCAUGCCUGUCCGAGCGUCAUUGCUGCCCUCAAGCACGGCUUGUGUGUUGGGCUUCCGUCCCUUGCAACGGGGACGGGCCCAAAAGGCAGUGGCGGCACCAUGUCUGGUCCUCGAGCGUAUGGGGCUUUGUCACCCGCUCCCGUAGGUCCAGCUGGCAGCUAGCCUCGCAACCAAUCUUUUUAACCAGGUUGACCUCGGAUCAGGUAGGGAUACCCGCUGAACUUAAGC